GCGGGUGUGGUGAAGUGGUUAACACGGCGGAUUGUGGCUCCGUUAUGCGUGGGUUCGACCCCCACCACUCGCCCCA
Molecule: transfer RNA, 76 nt
Filed under: Dialister invisus
Lineage: Bacteria; Bacillati; Bacillota; Negativicutes; Veillonellales; Veillonellaceae
Also listed under: 3 other names
Description: tRNA-His
Rfam family: tRNA
About the family: Transfer RNA (tRNA) molecules are approximately 80 nucleotides in length. Their secondary structure includes four short double-helical elements and three loops (D, anti-codon, and T loops).
Source: RNAcentral